UACGGAAGGCAGCAGUGGGGAAUAUUGCACAAUGGGCGAAAGCCUGAUGCAGCUAUGCCGCGUGUAUGAAGAAGGCCUUAGGGUUGUAAAGUACUUUCAUCGGGGAGGAAAAACAAAACUAAUAAUUUUAUUUUUUGACGUUACCCGAAAAAGAAGCACCGGCUAACUCCGUGCCAGCAGCCGCGGUAAUACGGAGGGUGCUAGCGUUAAUCAGAAUUACUGGGCGUAAAGAGCACGUAGGUGGUUUUUUUAAGUCAGAUGUGAAAUCCCUGGGCUUAACCUAGGAACUGCAUUUUGAAACUGAAAUACUAGAGUAUCGUAGAGGGAGGUAGAAUUCUAGGUGUAGCGGUGAAAUGCGUAGAUAUCUGGAGGAAUACCUGUGGCGAAAGCGGCCUCCUAAACGAAUACUGACACUGAGGUGCGAAAGCGUGGGGAGCAAACAGGGAUUAGAUACC
RNAcentral lists this ribosomal RNA (455 nucleotides) under uncultured bacterium. RNAcentral's name for it is "bacterial SSU rRNA". It matches the Rfam family "Bacterial small subunit ribosomal RNA", at positions 340 to 786 of the family's 1533-position model. The record is from RNAcentral.